This 321-nucleotide ribosomal RNA is filed under the name uncultured bacterium. RNAcentral's name for it is "bacterial SSU rRNA". It matches the Rfam family "Bacterial small subunit ribosomal RNA", at positions 30 to 346 of the family's 1533-position model. The record is from RNAcentral.
AUUGAACGCUGGCGGCAGGCCUAACACAUGCAAGUCGAGCGGUAGCACAAGAGAGCUUGCUCUCUGGGUGACGAGCGGCGGACGGGUGAGUAAUGUCUGGGAAACUGCCUGAUGGAGGGGAUAACGUACUGGAAACGGUAGCUAAUACCGCAUAACGUCUUCGGACCAAAGUGGGGACCUUCGGGCCUCACGCCAUCAGAUGUGCCCAGAUGGGAUUAGCUAGUAGGUGGGGUAAUGGCUCACCUAGGCGACGAUCCCUAGCUGGUCUGAGAGGAUGACCAGCCACACUGGAACUGAGACACGGUCCAGACUCCUACGGGA